GAUGAACGCUGGCGGCGUGCCUAAUACAUGCAAGUCGAGCGAACAGACGAGGAGCUUGCUCCUCUGACGUUAGCGGCGGACGGGUGUGUAACACGUGGAUAACCUACCUAUAAGACUGGGAUAACUUCGGGAAACCGGAGCUAAUACCGGAUAAUAUAUUGAACCGCAUGGUUCAAUAGUGAAUGACGGUUUUGCUGUCACUUAUAGAUGGUUCCGCGCGGCAUUAGCUAGUUGGUAAGGUAACGGCUUACCAAGGCAACGAUGCGUAGCCGACCUGAUAGGGGGAUCGGCCACACGGGAACUGAGACACGGACAAGAGUCCUACGGGAGGCAGCAGAAGGGAAUGUGCCGCAAUGGGCGAAAGCAUGACGGAGCAACGGCGCGUGAGUGAUGAAGGUCUUCGGAUCGUAAAACGCUGUUAUUAGGGAAGAACAAAUGUGUAAGGAACUAAGCACGGAGUGACGGUACCGAAUAAGAAAGCCACGGCUAACUACGUG
Molecule: ribosomal RNA, 497 nt
Filed under: uncultured bacterium
Lineage: Bacteria
Description: partial 16S ribosomal RNA
Rfam family: Bacterial small subunit ribosomal RNA
Source: RNAcentral